Molecule: non-coding RNA, 26 nt
Filed under: Homo sapiens (human)
Lineage: Eukaryota; Metazoa; Chordata; Mammalia; Primates; Hominidae
Source: RNAcentral
UGAACCAAGAGAGGGUUAUGAGCCUA